GACGAACGCUGGCGGCGUGCUUAACACAUGCAAGUCGAACGGAAAGGCCUGCAGCUUGCUGCGGGUACUCGAGUGGCGAACGGGUGAGUAACACGUGGGUGAUCUGCCUUGCACUUCGGGAUAAGCUUGGGAAACUGGGUCUAAUACCGGAUAGGACAGCUGUUUAGUGUCAGUUGUGGAAAGUUUUUUCGGUGCAAGAUGAGCUCGCGGCCUAUCGGCUUGUUGGUGGGGUAAUGGCCUACCAAGGCGUCGACGGGUAGCCGGCCUGAGAGGGUGUACGGCCACAUUGGGACUGAGAUACGGCCCAGACUCCUACGGGAGGCAGCAGUGGGGAAUAUUGCACAAUGGGCGGAAGCCUGAUGCAGCGACGCCGCGUGGGGGAUGAAGGCCUUCGGGUUGUAAACUCCUUUCGACAGGGACGAAGCUUUUGUGACGGUACCUGUAUAAGAAGCACCGGCUAACUACGUGCCAGCAGCCGCGGUAAUACGUAGGGUGCGAGCGUUGUCCGGAAUUACUGGGCGUAAAGAGCUCGUAGGUGGUUUGUCGCGUCGUCUGUGAAAUUCCGGGGCUUAACUCCGGGCGUGCAGGCGAUACGGGCUGACUUGAGUGCUGUAGGGGAGACUGGAAUUCCUGGUGUAGCGGUGAAAUGCGCAGAUAUCAGGAGGAACACCGAUGGCGAAGGCAGGUCUCUGGGCAGUAACUGACGCUGAGGAGCGAAAGCGUGGGUAUCAAACAGGAUUAGAUACCCUGGUAGUCCACGCCGUAAACUAUGAUUACUCAGAGUAUGCGAUAUACAGUAUGCUCUCAAGCGAAAGCAUUAAGUAAUCCACCUGGGGAGUACGUCGGCAACGAUGAAACUCAAAGGAAUUGACGGGGGCCCGCACAAGCGGAGGAACAUGUGGUUUAAUUCGAUGAUACGCGAGGAACCUUACCUGGGAUUGAAAUGUAUAGGCUGGCAGCUGGAAACAGCUGCUGUUCACUUCGGUGACUUAUAUGUAGGUGCUGCAUGGUUGUCGUCAGCUCGUGCCGUGAGGUGUCGGCUUAAGUGCCAUAACGAGCGCAACCCUUAUCGUUAGUUGCUAACAGGUUAAGCUGAGGACUCUGGCGAGACUGCCGUCGUAAGGCGAGAGGAAGGUGGGGAUGACGUCAAAUCAGCACGGCCCUUAUAUCCAGGGCGACACACGUGUUACAAUGGUGAGGACAAAGGGUAGCUACCUGGUGACAGGAUGCCAAUCUCCAAACCUCAUCUCAGUUCGGAUCGAAGUCUGCAACUCGACUUCGUGAAGCUGGAUUCGCUAGUAAUCGCGCAUCAGCCAUGGCGCGGUGAAUACGUUCCCGGGCCU
RNAcentral lists this ribosomal RNA (1343 nucleotides) under uncultured bacterium. Its description in RNAcentral is "partial 16S ribosomal RNA". It matches the Rfam family "Bacterial small subunit ribosomal RNA", at positions 28 to 1381 of the family's 1533-position model. The record is from RNAcentral.